AAUGGGCGACAGCCUGACGCAGCGACGCCGCGUGGGGGAUGAAGGUCUUCGGAUUGUAAACCCCUUUCGGGUGGGAAGAUGGCCGUCGACCACGACGGCGGACGGUACCACCAGAAGCAGCCACGGCUAACUUCGUGCCAGCAGCCGCGGUAAUACGAAGGUGGCAAGCGUUGUUCGGAUUUACUGGGCGUAAAGGGAGCGUAGGUGGUGCGGUAAGCCCUCCGGGAAAGCUUCAGGCUUAACCUGAAAAGGUCGGGGGGGACUGCCGCGCUAGAGGACGGGAGAGGAGCGCGGAAUUCCCGGUGUAGCGGUGAAAUGCGUAGAGAUCGGGAGGAAGGCCGGUGGCGAAGGCGGCGCUCUGGAACGUUACUGACACUGAGGCUCGAAAGCGUGGGGAGCAAACAGGAUUAGAUACCCUGGUAGUCCACGCCCUAAACGAUGGACACUACGUGCCGGCGGGUUACCGUCGGUGCCGCAGCUAACGCAGUAAGUGUCCCGCCUGGGGAGUACGGCCGCAAGGUUG
Molecule: ribosomal RNA, 523 nt
Filed under: uncultured Nitrospira sp.
Lineage: Bacteria; Pseudomonadati; Nitrospirota; Nitrospiria; Nitrospirales; Nitrospiraceae
Description: bacterial SSU rRNA
Rfam family: Bacterial small subunit ribosomal RNA
Source: RNAcentral